Ictidomys tridecemlineatus (thirteen-lined ground squirrel) is the source of this 72-nucleotide non-coding RNA. The record is from Rfam. Lineage: Eukaryota; Metazoa; Chordata; Mammalia; Rodentia; Sciuridae.
GGAGUUGUGGCUUGGUGGUAGAGCACUUGCCUAGCAUGUGUGAGGCUCUGGGUUCAAUUCUCAGCAGCACAG